Molecule: transfer RNA, 74 nt
Filed under: Pseudomonadota bacterium
Lineage: Bacteria; Pseudomonadati; Pseudomonadota
Description: Proteobacteria bacterium (freshwater metagenome) tRNA-Arg
Rfam family: tRNA
About the family: Transfer RNA (tRNA) molecules are approximately 80 nucleotides in length. Their secondary structure includes four short double-helical elements and three loops (D, anti-codon, and T loops).
Source: RNAcentral
GUCUCCAUAGCUCAAUCGGAUAGAGCAACAGACUUCUAAUCUGUAGGUUACUGGUUCGAUUCCAGUUGGAGACG